GGAGGCAAGAGGCCUCUGAGUUAGAAACCAGCCUAGGUUACACCAGGAGGACCGGGCCCUCCUGAGCUAGCUAAGACAGAAAAAUGAAAGGUCCACAUGCUGACUGGCUUGUCCACACCUUGCUUAGGCAGUAGCAGCUUCCUAAAGAAAGUCAGCAAAAGGUAGAAUCCAUGUAGCCAAAGUCGACCGGGGGUCAGACAGCCCUGUAUCACACCUUUAUCCCAAGUCUCUCUCUCCUUCAAAACAUCAGUCAAAUGAGACGAUGCAGCUUGGAUGCUCGUGGAGAAGUUCCACACAGUUGUAGUUUUAUAACUGUUGUGGGACCGAAGGCUGGUAAGCAUCAGAGAGGAGCUACGGGUUUAGGGAGCUAGCACACAUGUUGUGGGGGAUGGGCUUGGAGAUCGUGACGUGACCACAGCCUAGGGGUUUGCAUAACACUGCACUUAAAAAUAAAGAAACGUCAGUCACCUAUACAAAUAAUCAUAUAUUGGUUUAAGAAAAUUUCCCAGACUCCCCAGCAGCCUAGUAAACUAGGUGCUUUUAUUUUUCCAUCCUCUGCGACUAUCCUUGCCCACAGCACCGCCCCCCUCCCCACCCCCAAGUCACAGAGUUCUGACCACACAUAGCAGGGACGUAGCUCACAUCUUCCCAUUGCUCAUAGAUUUCUAUCGCCGCGCUACGUCACCUUCAUAAUGACUCACUUUACUGUCCCUAACCCAUAGAAGAAAUAGGUUGAGAUUCAUUUAACCCCCGACAUGUCUGUGGCUGCCAGCUUCUGCAUCGUGAACACCGUCGUCCCGCCACCACAAACAUCCUCACACGCAACCCUGUGAUAUCUAUGACAUCACUUCCUGGGGCUCCAAUUCUAGAAGCGUCAUUAACUGUUCAUCCCAUGAAGCACGCUGCUCUCCCAGAGACCACUCCAGCAUUCCACGCUACCACACCCUUGAAAGUUGGAAGGCUGAGUAACUCUUGGCCAAGGAAGGAAAAGGCAAUCAAUUUCAGUAAGGGUGCGUGGACCGGUAGAAAAGGGAUAAUCCACAAGGUAGUCCCAAGGUUCUACUAAGACCUAAUGGACGGAUGACUCAUGAUUACCUUGCCUUUCAACUGACAACGGACAGUUGCUUGCAUUCAAAGCACCAUGAGACGGAUUUUCUGAGUGGAAACCCCGAGGGGAAAUCCAAAGUCUGAUCUUUUUCCUUCUACCCAAAAGCACCUCUCCUAGACCCAUGCCACACCUCCUCCAUAUGCACUUAACGAGCGACUGGAGAAUUACAUUCUAGGUCUCUCAGAAGCCUGCUGUGAAAAUUCUGACUGCGGAGGGAUGCUACUCAAGAAAGGAGCCUCGUGCUUCAAAACGAAAGCAAAUGAAAAGUUGCCUCUGACAUUUACAAGAGACUGAAUAAAAAAUCCAUUGAGAGCGUAGAGCUUUUCCCAUGACCCCCAACCCUAUUGGGACAGAACACAGACAUCAUAGCCACAGACUAGAAGCCAGCAUUUCCUGCUUCACCCAUCCUCAUGCUGUGGAGGAAGUCCCUUGCAGGCUGGGAUGUUGGCAUGUAAAUUCCUAGAACUUUUAAAACUUGUAAUAAUUUGGAGUCACCUAGGAGACACACUUCUGAGAAUAUGGAUGAUGGAAUUCCCAGAGAGACUUAACUAGGGAGCGUCCCACCCUUAUCCCCGAACUUGGGCAGUACUGUACCCACACAGCCUUCACAUUCUUCCUGUUAUGAUUCGCCUGCCAUGAUGAGCUGAACCAAGAAACUCCAUGCCUUCAAAAUAAACCCUGCUUCUUUUGAGUUACUUCUUGCCUGACCUGUGGUCCCCAGUAACAAGAAAAGUAACUAUUUAGACCACUGAUA
Molecule: long non-coding RNA, 1862 nt
Organism: Mastomys coucha (southern multimammate mouse)
Lineage: Eukaryota; Metazoa; Chordata; Mammalia; Rodentia; Muridae
Exons: 3
Source: RefSeq, a predicted model, not a curated record